This 70-nucleotide transfer RNA is filed under the name Marmota monax (woodchuck). It matches the Rfam family "tRNA". From Rfam's summary of the family: Transfer RNA (tRNA) molecules are approximately 80 nucleotides in length. The record is from Rfam by way of RNAcentral. Lineage: Eukaryota; Metazoa; Chordata; Mammalia; Rodentia; Sciuridae.
GCAUUGGUGGUUCAGUGGUAGAAUUCUCAUCGCCACGCAGGAGGCCUGGGUUCGAUUCCUAGCCAAUGCA